GAUGAACGCUGGCGGCGUGCCUAAUACAUGCAAGUCGAGCGAACAGACGAGGAGCUUGCUCCUCUGACGUUAGCGGCGGACGGGUGAGUAACACGUGGAUAACCUACCUAUAAGACUGGGAUAACUUCGGGAAACCGGAGCUAAUACCGGAUAAUAUAUUGAACCGCAUGGUUCAAUAGUGAAAGACGGUUUUGCUGUCACUUAUAGAUGGAUCCGCGCCGCAUUAGCUAGUUGGUAAGGUAACGGCUUACCAAGGCAACGAUGCGUAGCCGACCUGAGAGGGUGAUUCGCCACACUGGAACUGAGAAACGGUCCAGACUCCUAGGGGAGGCAGCAGUAGGGAAUCUUCCGCAAUGGGCGAAAGCCUGACGGAGCAACGCCGCGUGAGUGAUGAAGGUCUUCGGAUCGUAAAACUAUGUAAUUAGGGAAGAACAAAUGUGUAAGUACCUAUGCACGUCUUGACGGUACCUAAUCAGAAAGCCACGGCUAACUACGUG
RNAcentral lists this ribosomal RNA (497 nucleotides) under uncultured bacterium. Its description in RNAcentral is "partial 16S ribosomal RNA". It matches the Rfam family "Bacterial small subunit ribosomal RNA", at positions 28 to 507 of the family's 1533-position model. The record is from RNAcentral.